Molecule: transfer RNA, 68 nt
Filed under: Oncotympana maculaticollis
Lineage: Eukaryota; Metazoa; Arthropoda; Insecta; Hemiptera; Cicadidae
Description: tRNA-Glu
Source: RNAcentral
GUUUAUAAAGUUUUUAUUAAAACAUUUCAUUUUCAUUGAAAAGAAAGAUUACUAUUAUCUUAUAAAUA